GAUGAACGCUGGCGGCGUGCCUAAUACAUGCAAGUCGAGCGAACAGACGAGGCUCUUGCUCCUCUGACGUUAGCCGCGGACGGGUGAGUAACACGUGGAUAACCUCCCUAUAUGUCUGGGAUAACUUCGGGACACCGGAGCUAAUCCCGUAUAAUAUCUUGAACCGCAUGGUUCAAUAGUGAAAUACGGUUUUGCUGUCACUUCUCGAUGCAUCCGGGCCGCAUUAGAUAGUUGGUACGGUAACGGCUUACCAAGGCAACGAUGCGUAGCCGACCUGAGAGGGGGGUAGGCGACAUGAGAACGGAGACGCGGUCCAGACUACUGCGGGAGGCAGCAGUAGGGAAUGUGACGCAAUGGGCGGAAGCCUGACGGAGCAAGGCCGCGUGAGUGAUGAAGAUCUUCGGAUCGUAAAAAUCGGUUAUGAGUGAAGAACAAAUGUGUAAUUAACUAUGGACGUCUUGACGGUACCGAGUCAGAAAGCCACGGCUAACUACGUG
RNAcentral lists this ribosomal RNA (497 nucleotides) under uncultured bacterium. RNAcentral's name for it is "partial 16S ribosomal RNA". It matches the Rfam family "Bacterial small subunit ribosomal RNA", at positions 28 to 507 of the family's 1533-position model. The record is from RNAcentral.